Molecule: ribosomal RNA, 492 nt
Filed under: uncultured bacterium
Lineage: Bacteria
Description: partial 16S ribosomal RNA
Rfam family: Bacterial small subunit ribosomal RNA
Source: RNAcentral
AGUGAACGCUGGCGGUAGGCCUAACACAUGCAAGUCGAACGGCAGCACAGUAAGAGCUUGCUCUUACGGGUGGCGAGUGGCAGACGGGUGAGGAAUACAUCGGAAUCUACUUUUUCGUGGGGGAUAACGUAGGGAAACUUACGCUAUUACCGCAUACGACCUACGGGUGAAAGCAGGGGAUCUUCGGACCUUGCGCGAUUGAAUGAGCCGAUGUCGGAUUAGCUAGUUGGCGGGGUAAAGGCCCACCAAGGCGACGAUCCGUAGCUGGUCUGAGAGGAUGAUCAGCCACACUGGAACUGAGACACGGUCCAGACUCCUACGGGAGGCAGCAGUGGGGAAUAUUGGACAAUGGGCGCAAGCCUGAUCCAGCCAUACCGCGUGGGUGAAGAAGGCCUUCGGGUUGUAAAGCCCUUUUGUUGGGAAAGAAAAGCAGCAGGUUAAUACCCCGCUGUUCUGACGGUACCCAAAGAAUAAGCACCGGCCAACUUCGUG